Molecule: ribosomal RNA, 283 nt
Filed under: uncultured bacterium
Lineage: Bacteria
Description: partial 16S ribosomal RNA
Rfam family: Bacterial small subunit ribosomal RNA
Source: RNAcentral
GGAUUAGAUACCCUGGUAGUCCACGCCGUAAACGAUGAUUACUCGGUAUUGGCUUCGGUCAGUGCCCAAGCGAAAGUGAUAAGUAAUCCACCUGGGGAGUACGCCCGCAAGGGUGAAACUCAAAGGAAUUGACGGGGGCCCGCACAAGCGGUGGAGCAUGUGGUUUAAUUCGAUGAUACGCGAGGAACCUUACCAGGGUUUAAAUGCAGAACGACAGGGGUGGAAACACCCCCUUCUUCGGACGGACUGCAAGGUGCUGCAUGGUUGUCGUCAGCUCGUGCCG